GCCAGACUCCUACGGGAGGCAGCAGUGGGGAAUAUUGCACAAUGGGGGAAACCCUGAUGCAGCGACGCCGCGUGAGCGAUGAAGUAUUUCGGUAUGUAAAGCUCUCUCAGCAGGGAAGAAAAUGACGGUACCUGACUAAGAAGCCCCGGCUAACUGCGUGCCAGCAGCCGCGGUAAUACGUAGGGGGCAAGCGUUAUCCGGAUUUACUGGGUGUAAAGGGAGCGUAGACGGCGAUGCAAGCCAGAUGUGAAAGCCCGCGGCUCAACUGCGGUAGUGCAUUUGGAACUGUAUGGCUGGAGUGCAGGAGAGGCAGGCGGAAUUCCUAGUGUAGCGGUGAAAUGCGUAGAUAUUAGGAGGAACACCAGUGGCGAAGGCGGCCUGCUGGACUGUAACUGACGUUGAGGCUCGAAAGCGUGGGGAGCAAACAGGAUUAGAUACCCUAGUAA
This 446-nucleotide ribosomal RNA is filed under the name uncultured bacterium. RNAcentral's name for it is "bacterial SSU rRNA". It matches the Rfam family "Bacterial small subunit ribosomal RNA", at positions 330 to 793 of the family's 1533-position model. The record is from RNAcentral.